RNAcentral lists this small nuclear RNA (92 nucleotides) under Chinchilla lanigera (long-tailed chinchilla). Lineage: Eukaryota; Metazoa; Chordata; Mammalia; Rodentia; Chinchillidae. The record is from RNAcentral.
GUGGCUUGAGACUAAAGGAGAAAACACAGAAAGGAUUAGCAUGGCCCCUGCGCAGUGAUGACAUGCAAAUUCAUGAAACAUUCCAUACUAAA